Parelaphostrongylus tenuis is the source of this 131-nucleotide non-coding RNA. The record is from the annotation of a GenBank genome assembly. NCBI's taxonomy places the organism in Eukaryota, Metazoa, Nematoda, Chromadorea, Rhabditida, Metastrongylidae.
GCCUCGGUGGUGUAGUGGUAGUAGUGCGCGUUCACGGUAUGGAUGCUACUACCACUACACCACCGAGGUACAUUAUCGCCACCAGCGCGUCCCGGUUGGAUGAAACGCGGGUUCGAUUCCCGCCUGAGACC